GACGAACGCUGGCGGCGUGCUUAACACAUGCAAGUCGAACGGAAAGGCACUGCUUUUGUGGGGUGCUCGAGUGGCGAACGGGUGAGUAACACGUGAGUAAACUGCCCUUGACUUUGGGAUAACUUCAGGAAACUGCGGCUAAUACCGGAUAGGAGCUCCUGCUGCGUGGUGGGGGUUGGAGAGUUUCGGCGGUUGUGGCUGGACUCGCGGCUUCUCAGCUUGUUUGUGAGGUAGUGGAGUACCAGGGCUUUGACGGGUAGCCGGCCUGAGAGGGUGACCGGGCACAUUGGGACUGCGAUACGGCCCAGAAUCCUAUGUGAGGCAGCAGUGGGGAAUCUUGCAGAAUGGCCGGAAGCCAGAUGCAGCAACGCCGCGUGCGGGAUGACGGCCUUCGGGGUGUAAACCGCUUUCGCCGUUGACGAAGAGUGAGUGACGGUAACGGGUAAAGAAGCACCGGCUAACUACGUG
RNAcentral lists this ribosomal RNA (468 nucleotides) under uncultured bacterium. RNAcentral describes it as "partial 16S ribosomal RNA". It matches the Rfam family "Bacterial small subunit ribosomal RNA", at positions 28 to 507 of the family's 1533-position model. The record is from RNAcentral.